Molecule: non-coding RNA, 93 nt
Organism: Mycena vulgaris
Lineage: Eukaryota; Fungi; Basidiomycota; Agaricomycetes; Agaricales; Mycenaceae
Source: the annotation of a GenBank genome assembly
UCAGAUGUGGUGUAGCGGGAACACGGUCUCUUGUCAUAGAUAAUUGGUUGAGCAUUUCGGCGGCAGUCCAGGGUUCGAAUCCCUGCGUCUGAG